AGAGUUUGAUUAUGGCUCAGGAUGAACGCUGGCGGCGUGCUUAACACAUGCAAGUCGAACGAGGCCCAACCUUCGGGUGAGGACCGAGUGGCGAACGGGUGAGUAACACGUGGGGAACCUGCCCUUCUCUCUGGGAUAACCUCGGGAAACCGAAGCUAAUACCGGAUACUCCUUGCGGACCGCAUGGUCUGCUCGGGAAAGCUCCGGCGGAGAAGGAUGGCCCCGCGGCCCAUUAGCUUGUUGGUGGGGUAACGGCCCACCAAGGCGACGAUGGGUAGCCGAGCUGAGAGGCUGAUCGGCCACACUGGGACUGAGACACGGCCCAGACUCCUACGGGAGGCAGCAGUGGGGAAUCUUGCGCAAUGGGCGAAAGCCUGACGCAGCAACGCCGCGUGCGGGAUGAAGGCUCUCGGGUCGUAAACCGCUUUCAGCAGGGAUGAAAAUGACAGUACCUGCAGAAGAAGCCCCGGCUAAAUACGUGCCAGCAGCCGCGGUAAUACGUAUGGGGCAAGCGUUAUCCGGAUUCAUUGGGCGUAAAGCGCGCGUAGGCGGCUUGUUAAGUCAGGCGUGAAAUCCGGGGGCUCAACCCGCGGCUUGCGUCUGAAACUGGCAGGCUUGAGUCUGGUAGAGGAAAGUGGAAUUCCUGGUGUAGCGGUGAAAUGCGCAGAUAUCAGGAGGAACACCAGUGGUGAAGGCGGCUUUCUGGGCCACGACUGACGCUGAGGCGCGAAAGCUAGGGGAGCGAACAGGAUUAGAUACCCUGGUAGUC
Molecule: ribosomal RNA, 769 nt
Filed under: uncultured Actinomycetes bacterium
Lineage: Bacteria; Bacillati; Actinomycetota; Actinomycetes
Description: bacterial SSU rRNA
Rfam family: Bacterial small subunit ribosomal RNA
Source: RNAcentral